UAUCCCUACGUGUGAAAGCAAAGUUAGGGGUAGUGUAGAAAGUGGACUCUGUGUCAUGUGACUCGAGCAAGAAUAACUUUCUCAUUCCUACGUAUAAAAGGACCCCAUGAAAAUAUAUUAUGCAUGGCCAUAUCAGAAAUCCUCUAUAGCUCCUCUCUCUCUCUCUCUCUCUCUCUCUCUCUCUCUCUCUUUUUGCCCCCCUCUUCUAUUAACAGUUGAGGGGAAUGUUGUCUGGUUCGAUGUCAUUCAUCUGAAGCUCAAAUUAACCUUAACUGAAUGAUUUCGGACCAGGCUUCAUUCCCCCCAACAGGGUUUGAUUUGAUUUUCAUCUAGACUAAUUAAAGCAUGUAAUAGCUUUGCUAAUUCAUCAUCUUCAUCAUUUUUUAGUCUGAUGCAGUAGAUAUUAAGAGGUGCAAGAAAGUUUAGUUCUCCCUUGUUAUUUCCAUUUUCUAAAGCUUAAUCAUAUAUAUUAUUGCUGAUGGCAGGAGGAUAUAUAUAUCUUUAGUCGAUCGGCUUUGAUCUGAUGCAAAUAAUUAUCAGGGAAAGGAACCAAAGAAAAAGCUAUUAUGAAAUUUCAGCCACCAGGCAGCCAGCAGACAUGAUAUGACGACAAUGAUCUACGUGUCCUCUGUGAAAUCAUACGUACGCUAGUUGCUUUUAAAGUAAGGUUGAAAAAUUAAAAUCGAAGUACUCCUUUAGGGGAUUUGACAUAUGGGAUUAUGAAGAUUGAAGAGACCAAAGAGAAAAAAAGAAAAGUUUAUUGGGUGCCAAACAGCCAAAGGGUCUACUCUGCUAAUGUGUUCCCCAUGGACUGAUUAUUAACUUUUCCAUGAAUAUAUGUAUCGAUGGAAUCCUUAAUUCUUAGCUUCUACUGCUUAGGUUUAGGGUUACAGAACAAGUAUCAUAUCUAUAUAUUAUUUUCUCCUUCUCGUCUUAGGAUAUUAACAUGCAUUUAUUUGCCGUCAGAAAUGUAUAUAUCUAUCAAUUCACAUUAAUUAAAUUUGUAGCAAUUGAUUGUCUUUGCCGUCUCAUAAAUAUAGAAAAAGAAAAGGUUCAAUCCCCAGCAUUUUUAUUUAAAAGCUGUUUAAUGAAUGAAUGUACUUUCUUUUAUUUCAGUGAAUGGGUUUAACAAUAGAACUGCACCAAAGAUUUUUUGCGCUUUCUAAUUAUAUGAAAGCAUGCUCCAUUUGAUUAGUUUGUUUUGAUGUUCUUCACAUGAUGAGAUUGGAUUAUGUUUGCUCAUAAUUGAAUGGUAGUGAGCAUGGCAGUUUACUGUUGCCUGAACAAUUCGAGAAUUGCAUUGGAGUCAUUUCAUUUUGACAUGCCUUUCCAAUUUCAUAAAAUAGAAAUCCCACUGUGUAGAUAAUUAAUUAAUGAAUUAAUUACCAUGCACAACUAUAAUUUCAAACCCAUGUAAUAGGUAAAUAUUGAAUCAUUGGGGUAAAAGAUUUUACAUUGUGAUUAAUUUUAAUAUCUCACCUCAUCAUUAAAUUAAGAUAAAUUUAAAAAAUAAAAAAAAGAUAUAAAUAUACAUUAAAAAUUAGUUAUUUCAUGCUUAAUUGCUUAUAAUAUCUAUAUAUCAACAAAUUAUAUAAUUUUUUUUAAUAUGCAUUUUCAAUAGCAAAUUAAGGCGGGAAAUGUAUAAAAUACACUUAGAACAUUAAAAAAUAUGAUUCUUGUAAAUAUAUAAUUUUAAUUAUUCUUUAUAUUAAAAAGAGGAAAUCUAAAAAAUUAAAUUUUUGAUUAUUUGUCUAAUUCUACCAUUCAAAUUUUUUUAAUAUAAAAUGAAAACAAAAAAAAUAUGUAAAAAUAAUUGUCAACUGUAAAAAAAAUUAAAAUAAAUAAAUAAAUGUCUAUUACAAAACUGAUAUAUAAUGUCAAUUAAUUAAUUAGAUUAGGUAAAAGAAGUGAUUGAAGUCAGCUGAUGACUUGGUUAAUAAAGCAACAAAAUAAUGGGUUGCCACCAAAUUAUAUCAACUUUAUUGACUUGGGUGCAAUCAUACUUAGAAAAGCAUUCAAAACCAGCAAACAUAAAAAUCCAUUCAUAAAGGCACACUUUGUAGGGCAUCAUAAUUAAUUAGGAAGCAAUAGACUAUCUUUAGUACACUUUUAUCAAGACCAGAUAAUUAUCUCUAUAAAUGACUCAUCAUCAUGCAACUUUCAUAUUAAUUAAUUGAGCACAUCAAAUUCAUGUGAUAGGUUGCAGAGGCUAUUUGUCACGUGUAGGUAUAUAAAAAAAAGAUAAUUAUUCUGUGAUUUAAUAUUUAAUUCAACUAAAUAUUAAUUUCAACAUAUCCAAUAAGUCCAUAUUCUUUAUUAUUAACCCUAAAUCCAUUUGCUAAUUCGUGAAGAUCUAAAGGAGGUAGUGGACAAAUUCGUAAGGGAUGUGGGUCCAAGUGAUGGGUAUCCCAUUAUUACAUUCGGUUUCUCGGGGUGAUUAUCAGAACAACUUUAAAUCCUGAAAUAACAAGAAAAGGUUUUUAAAUGAUUUGGAUCCAAAAUUCAUUGGGAAAAGAAUGGGAGAUUGAAGCAUAGAUAGUCAGGUUAGUCUGAGGAAAAUUUCUCAACAGUUAGCUUUGUUGUAUGAUUCUGAAACCUGUUCUGGCAAGUUGCUAUUUCACUUUUCUGCAUAUGCCCCCACCAUUGCCUUCAUUGGAAUACUCACACUCACCAACAAAAGUUGCCAAACCCGUCGCUCUUCUACCAUAUAGAAAGUGAACAAUAAUCUGCAGAGUGCUAAUCUGUCUUGAUAUAAUUUACAUUGAAAGUACUUCAGAUAUCUGCAACUAACAGAAACUCCGUUGUUUCAAGUCUUCAUCCCCCGCCAGACAUUAAUUACUUAUUUCCCUUCUGUUUUUAUGAAGAACUCAACUCUCCAGAUUCGCUUCAUCAGUCAGAACUUCCAUCUGUCAGGCAAAAUUCCCCACCAGAAAUAUAAAAAUUCUAGGGAGGAAGUAGAGGAUUUCUUGUAGAAUUUCUCCAACUAAGCAAUGUAAUUUCAUUCACAAGUCCAAUGGAUCAAGGAAAUUUUCAUUAUUAACUACAUAUUAUAUCAAUUGCUCCAACUCCACGCUCGGUUCAAGCUCAAGUAAAGCCUCUUACUUCCUUUGAGAACUUCACCAAGACUCCUGCCAAUAAUGUAAACCACUUAUCUUAGGUUAUGAUAGUGCAUUAUCAAUUGAGUUGAUGCAGUGUCAAUGCAACUAAAAGUUUGUUUCUGAACAUAA
RNA transcript from Hevea brasiliensis (rubber tree), 3227 nucleotides. It is a transcript of the gene named calmodulin calcium-dependent NAD kinase-like, with no coding region annotated. NCBI's taxonomy places the organism in Eukaryota, Viridiplantae, Streptophyta, Magnoliopsida, Malpighiales, Euphorbiaceae. The record is from RefSeq and is a predicted model, not a curated record. The transcript is spliced from 4 exons.